Molecule: unclassified non-coding RNA, 305 nt
Filed under: Herpotrichiellaceae sp.
Lineage: Eukaryota; Fungi; Ascomycota; Eurotiomycetes; Chaetothyriales; Herpotrichiellaceae
Description: partial contains 5.8S ribosomal RNA, internal transcribed spacer 2, and large subunit ribosomal RNA
Rfam family: 5.8S ribosomal RNA (bases 1-71)
Source: RNAcentral
GUGAAUCAUCGAAUCUUUGAACGCACAUUGCGCCCUUUGGUAUUCCGAAGGGCAUGCCUGUUCGAGCGUCAUUAUCACCCCUCAAGCCCUGUGCUUGGUGUUGGACGGCUGGUCGAGCGAUCGACCCCUCCUAAAGACAAUGACGGCGGCCUGUGGUUCCCCCGGUACACUGAGCUUUUAACUGAGCACGUAUCGGACAAGGGCACCCGGGACCCGGUCCUCUCCUUUAGCUAGGAAACUUCUAAGGUUGACCUCGGAUCAGGUAGGAAUACGCGCUGAACUUAAGCAUAUCAAUAAGCGGAGGA